UAAAUUUUGAUACAAUAAUUAUCAGUAAUUGGUGGGUGUAAAAGAUGGUAGCUAAUCUCUUAAAUAAGAGGUGAUGCUUAUGGUUAUACGCUUUAUCCCUAGAAAGGAAUAAAGUUGUCUGUAUUUGAAUCUUUACAACUGAUGCUCGCCUUUGCGACAUUGGUGUUGCAGAUAAUAGACAAAAA
Enterococcus villorum ATCC 700913 is the source of this 185-nucleotide non-coding RNA. The record is from Rfam. NCBI's taxonomy places the organism in Bacteria, Bacillati, Bacillota, Bacilli, Lactobacillales, Enterococcaceae.